Molecule: transfer RNA, 92 nt
Filed under: Tahibacter amnicola
Lineage: Bacteria; Pseudomonadati; Pseudomonadota; Gammaproteobacteria; Lysobacterales; Rhodanobacteraceae
Also listed under: 1 other name
Description: Tahibacter sp. W38 tRNA-Gly
Source: RNAcentral
GUGGCUGGGCGCUAUCUCGUAAGCCGGUAGCGCGCCACGCUUCCGGCGUGGCGCGCAAGACGGACGUCUACGGAGUCCUGCCGGCCAGGCCA